Molecule: ribosomal RNA, 358 nt
Filed under: uncultured bacterium
Lineage: Bacteria
Description: bacterial SSU rRNA
Rfam family: Bacterial small subunit ribosomal RNA
Source: RNAcentral
AGAGUUUGAUCAUGGCUCAGGAUGAACGCUAGCUACAGGCUUAACACAUGCAAGUCGAGGGGCAGCAUGGUCUUAGCUUGCUAAGGCUGAUGGCGACCGGCGCACGGGUGAGUAACACGUAUCCAACCUGGCCGUCUACUCUUGGCCAGCCUUCUGAAAGGAAGAUUAAUCCAGGAUGGGGAUCAUGAGUUCACAUGUCCGCAUGAUUAAAGGUAUUUUCCGGUAGACGAUGGGGAUGUGUUCCAUUAGAUAGUAGGCGGGGUAACGGCCCACCUAGUCAACGAUGGAUAGGGGUUCUGAGAGGAAGGUCCCCCACAUUGGAACUGAGACACGGUCCAAACUCCUACGGGAGGCAGCA